RNAcentral lists this ribosomal RNA (433 nucleotides) under uncultured bacterium. Its description in RNAcentral is "partial 16S ribosomal RNA". It matches the Rfam family "Bacterial small subunit ribosomal RNA", at positions 29 to 507 of the family's 1533-position model. The record is from RNAcentral.
AACGAACGCUGGCGGCAGGCCUAACACAUGCAAGUCGAGCGGACCCUUCGGGGUUAGCGGCGGACGGGUGAGUAACGCGUGGGAAUAUGCCCUUCUCUACGGAAUAGUCCUGGGAAACUGGGGGUAAUACCGUAUACGCCCUUUGGGGGAAAGAUUUAUCGGGGAAGGAUUAGCCCGCGUUGGAUUAGGUAGUUGGUGGGGUAAUGGCCUACCAAGCCGACGAUCCAUAGCUGGUUUGAGAGGAUGAUCAGCCACACUGGGACUGAGACACGGCCCAGACUCCUACGGGAGGCAGCAGUGGGGAAUCUUAGACAAUGGGGGCAACCCUGAUCUAGCCAUGCCGCGUGAGUGAUGAAGGCCUUAGGGUUGUAAAGCUCUCUCAGCUGGGAAGAUAAUGACGGUACCAGCAGAAGAAGCCCCGGCUAACUCCGUG